This is a long non-coding RNA of Daktulosphaira vitifoliae (grape phylloxera), 1029 nucleotides long. RefSeq lists it as uncharacterized. Lineage: Eukaryota; Metazoa; Arthropoda; Insecta; Hemiptera; Phylloxeridae. The record is from RefSeq and is a predicted model, not a curated record. The transcript has 2 exons.
ACCUCUACAUGGAGGUAUUAUUCAUAAGAUAAGUGGGUUUUUUGAAGUUAUGUUCCGUUUUAUAACUUGUUGUUAUUAAUAUAAAAUAUUUGGCGGUAUCUCACACAGCACUGUACUAGGUGCGUAAUUUUUUUUAUCAUGAAAAAGUUUUUUUCUAUAAUCAAUUUUUUGUUUUUUUUUGUAUAAUAAAUGAACUUAGCUGGUACUUCUAACAUUUCGGUUAAUAACCCAAACUUUUAAAAAAUAAUAUUAGAACUUUAUUCUGAUGAUAAUUCUGAGAAAUUAAUCUUGAGUCCGAACAGAAUCUGAACAGAAAGAUAAUGAUAUAACCGAAAGUGAUGAUGAAGAGUCUGAUAGUUCUGGUCAUGAUAAUGAUGAAUCUACAAGAGUUUCUAAAAAUUUUUAAUGAAAAAAUAAGUAUAAAUGGUCAGCAAAUGAAUUUGUAUGUAAAAUAUUAGGAACUGCUCGUCAUAAUAUUAUUACUCAAAUUCCCGUAUUACGUGAUCCUGUAAAAAACUUAGGUGAUAUUGCAAAUCCUAUGGAUAUUUGGAAUAUGUUUUUUACAUGUUCUAUUUUAAUUGAAAUUUUGAUUUGGACCCAUUUAAAACUUGAUAGUGUUCAUCAGUAAUAUAAAGAACAAUUAAGUUUUACAAAAAUUAUAGACGAAAUUACGCUACGUCACUUUUUGGCUUAUUAUUUUAAUCAGCUGUUUUUAAGUCAAAUUAUGAAUGCGCAAAACUCUUGAAAAAAAAAAAAAACAAAAAACAAAAUUAUCACUGAUGGGACUGGACGCGAAAUAUUUCGUUUAGUUAUGUGUCAAAAAAGGUUUUUAUUUUUAAUUAACUGUUUAUAUAUUAAUAAUCCGGAUACUAGAGAUCAAAGAAAAGAAAAUAAUCUUACCGCUGUUAUUUUCGAAAUUUUUAGUUCAUAAAUAAUUGUAAAAAAAAUUAUUCGUUAAGUUCAUGUGCUAUAAUAGAUGAAAUACCUGUUAGUUUUCGUGGGAGGUGCAAAUUUAAAAAAAGGAAAACG